CCUACGGGGGGCAGCAGUGGGGAAUAUUGGACAAUGGGCGAAAGCCUGAUCCAGCCAUGCCGCGUGUGUGAAGAAGGCCUUCGGGUUGUAAAGCACUUUCAGUGGGGAAGAAAGCCUUGGGGCUAAUACCCUCGAGGAAGGACAUCACCCACAGAAGAAGCACCGGCUAACUCCGUGCCAGCAGCCGCGGUAAUACGGAGGGUGCGAGCGUUAAUCGGAAUUACUGGGCGUAAAGCGCGCGUAGGCGGUCUGAUAAGCCGGUUGUGAAAGCCCCGGGCUCAACCUGGGAACGGCAUCCGGAACUGUCAGGCUAGAGUGCAGGAGAGGAAGGUAGAAUUCCCGGUGUAGCGGUGAAAUGCGUAGAGAUCGGGAGGAAUACCAGUGGCGAAGGCGGCCUUCUGGACUGACACUGACGCUGAGGUGCGAAAGCGUGGGUAGCAAACAGGAUUAGAUACCCCUGGUAGUC
This 466-nucleotide ribosomal RNA is filed under the name Vreelandella stevensii. RNAcentral describes it as "partial 16S ribosomal RNA". It matches the Rfam family "Bacterial small subunit ribosomal RNA", at positions 338 to 795 of the family's 1533-position model. The record is from RNAcentral. Lineage: Bacteria; Pseudomonadati; Pseudomonadota; Gammaproteobacteria; Oceanospirillales; Halomonadaceae.